GUUCAGGCUGUCAUAUCUGGUACCUUACUGAUCAUCAGGAUUGAUUUGGUUGAUCUAGGUGGCUAAAUGGAUGUGCCUUUCC
RNAcentral lists this small nuclear RNA (82 nucleotides) under Rattus norvegicus (Norway rat). Its description in RNAcentral is "7SK RNA". It matches the Rfam family "7SK RNA", at positions 13 to 94 of the family's 331-position model. From Rfam's summary of the family: 7SK was discovered as an abundant small nuclear RNA in the mid-70s but a possible function has only recently been suggested. The record is from Rfam by way of RNAcentral. Lineage: Eukaryota; Metazoa; Chordata; Mammalia; Rodentia; Muridae.